GGGGGUAUUGCUCAGUGGUAGAGCACGUCCUUGGCCCACACGAGGUCCUAGGUUCAAUCCCCAGUGCCUCUG
Molecule: transfer RNA, 72 nt
Filed under: Camelus ferus (Wild Bactrian camel)
Lineage: Eukaryota; Metazoa; Chordata; Mammalia; Artiodactyla; Camelidae
Rfam family: tRNA
About the family: Transfer RNA (tRNA) molecules are approximately 80 nucleotides in length.
Source: Rfam by way of RNAcentral